GUAAGGAGACACACUUGAAUAUUGAAUAAACCAUUAAUCUUUUCUCUCGGUUCUUUCUUCCUACUUCCAUCUCUUUCUUCUUUAUUGUCUCUUUCUCCUUUAUUGUUUUGUUCAUUGCAGUCGGCAUUAAUUUGGUGUUAGAGCUCAAUCAUUUCCUUUGAUCAACCAAUCCAAUUUCCAUCUGAUGAGGACAUCAUUCACCUAUAUUUAUUUUAUUUUAUUUGGACUUUUUUUGCUUAUUUUAGUUGGCC
RNAcentral lists this long non-coding RNA (251 nucleotides) under Olea europaea (common olive). Its description in RNAcentral is "long non-coding RNA (OEUR_LNC015204)". The record is from RNAcentral. Lineage: Eukaryota; Viridiplantae; Streptophyta; Magnoliopsida; Lamiales; Oleaceae.